UAAUACGUAGGGGGCAAGCGUUGUCCGGAAUUAUUGGGCGUAAAGCGCGCGCAGGCGGCUGUUUAAGUCUGAUGUUUAAGCCCGGGGCUCAACCCCGGUUCGCAUUGGAAACUGGACGGCUUGAGUGCAGGAGAGGAAAGCGGAAUUCCACGUGUAGCGGUGAAAUGCGUAGAGAUGUGGAGGAACACCAGUGGCGAAGGCGGCUUUCUGGCCUGUAACUGACGCUGAGGCGCGAAAGCGUGGGGAGCAAACAGGAUUAGAUACCCUGGUAGUCCACGCCGUAAACGAUGAGUGCUAGGUGUUGGGGGUUUCGAUACCCUCGGUGCCGAAGUAAACACAGUAAGCACUCCGCCUGGGGAGUACGCUCGCAAGAGUGAAACUCAAAUGAAUUGACGG
This 396-nucleotide ribosomal RNA is filed under the name uncultured bacterium. RNAcentral describes it as "bacterial SSU rRNA". It matches the Rfam family "Bacterial small subunit ribosomal RNA", at positions 521 to 916 of the family's 1533-position model. The record is from RNAcentral.